This 533-nucleotide ribosomal RNA is filed under the name uncultured delta proteobacterium. RNAcentral's name for it is "bacterial SSU rRNA". It matches the Rfam family "Bacterial small subunit ribosomal RNA", at positions 8 to 524 of the family's 1533-position model. The record is from RNAcentral. Lineage: Bacteria; Deltaproteobacteria.
AGAGUUUGAUCCUGGCUCAGAACGAACGCUGGCGGCGUGCUUAACACAUGCAAGUCGAACGCGAAAGGGACUUCGGUCCUGAGUAAAGUGGCGCACGGGUGAGUAACGCGUGGAUAAUCUGCCCUUAUGAUUGGAAUAACAGUUGGAAACGGCUGCUAAUACCGGAUACGCUCAAAAUGAACUUUUUGAGGAAAGAUGGCCUCUGCUUGCAUGCUAUCGCAUAAGGAUGAGUCCGCGUCCCAUUAGCUUGUUGGCGGGGUAACGGCCCACCAAGGCAACGAUGGGUAGCCGAUUUGAGAGGAUGAUCGGCCACACUGGAACUGAAACACGGUCCAGACUCCUACGGGAGGCAGCAGUGGGGAAUAUUGCGCAAUGGGCGAAAGCCUGACGCAGCGACGCCGCGUGAGGGAUGAAGGUUUUCGGAUCGUAAACCUCUGUCAGAAGGGAAGAAACUACGUUGUGCUAAUCAGCAGCGUACUGACGGUACCUUCAAAGGAAGCACCGGCUAACUCCGUGCCAGCAGCCGCGGUAAU